Molecule: long non-coding RNA, 1885 nt
Filed under: Felis catus (domestic cat)
Lineage: Eukaryota; Metazoa; Chordata; Mammalia; Carnivora; Felidae
Description: lncRNA (ENSFCAG00000041104.2)
Source: RNAcentral
AACAAAAUAUGCAGCAUCUGGGUGGCUGAGUAGCUUAAGCAUCCAAGUUUGUCUCAAGUCAUGAUCUCACAGUUUGUGAGUUCGAGCCCAGCAUCAGGCUCUGUGCUGACAAAUCAGAGCCCAGACCCUGCUUUAGAUUCUGUGUCUCCUUCUCUCUGCCCUUCCCCCACUCACCCUCUGUCUCUCUCUUUCUCUCUCUCUCUCAAGAAAAAAAGAAAAGAAAAAGGAAAGAAAAGCAAAGAAAAGAAGAAAAAAGGCAAAAAUGUGAAUUUGAAGCUUUUUUUCCUUGAUGUGAUUUUUCUACUCCGAUUUAAUGAAUUAAAAAGUGAAGCAAAUUGGAAAAUGAAAAUGGUGGAAAAUACAAGUGUAAUUUCUUUGGAUACUUUUAUAGAUAAUGUUAGAAGGACUGACUAUUACUUGAAGUACCCAGCAUCGUCUUCAACAUUCUCCUCAAAUCCUGCCACUGUGCAAGCAUUAUUCUUUGUAUUCAUGAACAUUUUACAUUAUUCCAUGAUGAAGAAUCUAUACCUCUAGAGAAGCCUGCUAUGCUCAUCUUUCUGGUCAUGAAACAUAUCUGUUAUCAGUGCUUUAAAAUGGACCAUGUGAGCACUGGGUAUUGUAUAUUCUCUGGUGUUGCCCAAACUUACUGUUUGAAAGCUACAGCACUGAAUUAUAUUUCUGUCCUGGAGAAAGCUAUCAACCUUGGAACACUCUUUUCUCUGAACCCCAACAUUUCUAAAAACUUCUUUAUUCUAAGAAAGAGAAGGUAAGUGUGUCUUAUUUUGUUGAGAAAAACUCUGUAGAAGAGGUAGCGUAUUUAUCCAACAUUUCCCAAUAGGGAACAAAACAAAAAGAAAAACAAAACUUAGACUUGACAAUUCAAGGUAAGUUGAAAGUUACAAGGUUUGUCACAAACUAAGAGGCAAAAUAUUCCUGAUCUUUAAAAUUAUUGAACAAUGUUAAGAAGUCUUCUAUGAGGUCAUGACAUAUAAAUAUCUGAGCAGAGAUCAGAUGUCUGGUAUGUAUAAGAGAACUUUCAUAGAGUCUGAGAGACUUGGCUGCAUCUAAGUAGUGUGUUCAUUAGUAGGGGGUGAAUGACAAAAAAAAUAGUCUACUAAUUUAUGUGGAGGUUAAUUGUGGUUUAGAGCCAACAGUGCCUGGUUAAUACAUCACAGCUCAGAGCCUAAAUUAAUUUGAUUAAAAACCAUGUUGUUUUUGCAAAUUAAUUUUCUCCACGUGUUGCUUUCUGGUGUGUCAAGACACAGCAGUGUCCUGAUUAAAAACUCACUAGUUCAGUAUAUGUGCAUAUCUUUGACUUAGAAAAAAAAUACAAAACAAAACCGUAAACAAGGCGCUUGUAGUUAUUUGCAGUUGUACUUUUAGUGCCCAACAUCCCAUCAAUCAUUCUACGCAGAGGAACAAUUCCACCUUGGUGUACCAGAAAGUUUGUACAAGUUCACAGGGACCACGUUGGCAAGGAUUGACUGCAGUCUACCUCAAGUCUGUAAAAUACCUCGUAUUCUCUGAAACAGGUAGGGAAAGAUAACAAGCUUGGUGAGGAGUUGCCACGAGGUCAUUUCUCAUCCACCUCUUUACCUCGAGGAAACUGCCACAAGUUGUUUCUGGUCCAUCUCCCUAGUUUCAUUUGAACUCAAGACUUUCACCUUAUCCUUCUCUAAUGCUUUAAAAAAACUUCUUGGCUUAGUAUUCAGCAUUGACUCUUCAAUGUCAGAGCAAACUACCAAGCAUGCUGCAUGUUUCCUGGCCUUUUUGAGUUAGUAUCUUCCUGUGGGUCUUGGGACACAGAAGCUGACAAAAUGCUGACCUUGCCACUGCCAGCUGUGUAAGUAAUAAAUUGUCUGAAUUCAUAUGGGAUACUGUCUCC